RNAcentral lists this ribosomal RNA (521 nucleotides) under uncultured bacterium. Its description in RNAcentral is "bacterial SSU rRNA". It matches the Rfam family "Archaeal small subunit ribosomal RNA", at positions 345 to 866 of the family's 1478-position model. The record is from RNAcentral.
AACCUCCGCAAUGUGAGAAAUCGCGACGGGGGGAUCCCAAGUGCCAUUCUUAACGGGAUGGCUUUUCUUAAGUGUAAGAAGCUUUUGGAAUAAGAGCUGGGCAAGACCGGUGCCAGCCGCCGCGGUAACACCGGCAGCUCUAGUGGUAACAAUUUUUAUUGGGCCUAAAGCGUCCGUAGCCGGUUUAAUAAGUCUCUGGUGAAAUCCUGUAGCUUAACUGUGGGAAUUGCUGGAGAUACUAUUAGACUUGAGACCGGGAGAGGUUAGAGGUACUCCCAGGGUAGAGGUGAAAUUCUGUAAUCCUGGGAGGACCGCCUGUUGCGAAGGCGUCUAACUGGAACGGUUCUGACGGUGAGGGACGAAAGUUAGGGGCGCGAACCGGAUUAGAUACCCGGGUAGUCCUAACUGUAAACGAUGCGGACUUGGUGUUGGGGUGGCUUUGAGCUGCUUCAGUGCCGAAGGGAAGCUGUUAAGUCCGCCGCCUGGGAAGUACGGUCGCAAGACUGAAACUUAAAGGAAUU